AAAAAUAAGAGGAUUCAUUUUAGUUAGGCUCAUUCACAAAAACCAGGCGGACUCAUUCUGGAGUCAUAUGGCCUCCAAAAGCUCAGGCCAGAAGCGCACUGUCCUCCUGCCACACUCUAAUCUCUGGAAGAAUUUGUAGAGGCGCAGGAAGAAUCAAAAAGUCAAUCACUUCAGCGGAAGUUCUAAGGAAGUCCUUUCAUUGGCCAGAGGUCUUGGAGAAUGUGGGGGUUCCUCCCAGGUUAAAAGUUCCCUUCUUCCGCCCCUCUUCGGACACAGUGUUUGGAUCCCCUUCCAGCCUCGUGGAAGCUGUCUUUCUCUCUCCUGGAUUUCCCCUCUGGAGUCCCCUUCCACACUCUUCAUGGAAGUUUUCUCUUCUCCUUUUUCUCUUCCUCUACCUAAAAUAAAAUCACUUUUCUGCAAAAACUCUGUU
This 430-nucleotide long non-coding RNA is filed under the name Aotus nancymaae (Ma's night monkey). Its description in RNAcentral is "lncRNA (ENSANAG00000039342.1)". The record is from RNAcentral. Lineage: Eukaryota; Metazoa; Chordata; Mammalia; Primates; Aotidae.